UACGGAGGGUGCAAGCGUUAUCCGGAUUCACUGGGUUUAAAGGGUGCGUAGGCGGGCAUUUAAGUCAGUGGUGAAAUACCUGAGCUUAACUUGGGAACUGCCAUUGAUACUAUUUGUCUUGAAUGUCGUGGAGGUUAGCGGAAUAUGUCAUGUAGCGGUGAAAUGCUUAGAUAUGACAUAGAACACCUAUUGCGAAGGCAGCUAACUACGCGAAUAUUGACGCUGAGGCACGAAAGCGUGGGGAUCAAACAGGAUUAGAAACCCUAGUAGUCC
This 273-nucleotide ribosomal RNA is filed under the name uncultured bacterium. RNAcentral's name for it is "partial 16S ribosomal RNA". It matches the Rfam family "Bacterial small subunit ribosomal RNA", at positions 524 to 796 of the family's 1533-position model. The record is from RNAcentral.